AGCGAACGCUGGCGGCAGGCCUAACACAUGCCAGUCGAACGGAUCCUUCGGGAUUAGUGGCGGACGGGUGAGUAACACGUGGGAACGUGCCCUUUGGUUCGGAACAACUCAGGGAAACUUGAGCUAAUACCGGAUGUGCCCUUCGGGGGAAAGAUUUAUCGCCAUUGGAGCGGCCCGCGUCUGAUUAGCUAGUUGGUGAGGUAACGGCCCACCAAGGCGACGAUCAGUAGCUGGUCUGAGAGGAUGAUCAGCCACACUGGGACUGAGACACGGCCCAGACUCCUACGGGAGGCAGCAGUGGGGAAUCUUGCGCAAUGGGCGAAAGCCUGACGCAGCCAUGCCGCGUGAAUGAUGAAGGUCUUAGGAUUGUAAAAUUCUUUCAGCGGGGACGAUAAUGACGGUACCCGCAGAAGAAGCUCCGGCUAACUUCGU
RNAcentral lists this ribosomal RNA (432 nucleotides) under uncultured bacterium. Its description in RNAcentral is "partial 16S ribosomal RNA". It matches the Rfam family "Bacterial small subunit ribosomal RNA", at positions 29 to 506 of the family's 1533-position model. The record is from RNAcentral.